CUAAAAUAUUUUACAACUUAUGAACGUAAUUUUAAUAACUAAUAAAAUUUAUGUUUUGUAUAACAAGUACUUAUAGUUAUUAUUAGUAUGAUUUGUAGAGUGAUCCUAUAUCCAGUGAAGUCAAUGAUAAUGAGCCAAUACAAAGUGAUCCUAUAUCUAGUGAAGUCAAUAACAAUGAGUCAAAACAAGACGAGUAUCCCAUAUCAACUUAUUUUUCGAACCUCAUAUUAGAUCAUAUAUGAGAAAUUGUUCGUGGUAACUAUUUAUGAAUUUUAUAAUUAUGUAGAGAAUUCCAAGAAAUAUAAUGAAGAUUUACGAAAAGUAUUGCUUAGGUUAAUAAAGGAUAUAAUUAUUGCAGAGGAUAAAACGACGAAAAUAAAUGGAUAUAUUAGUUAUAUAUACGUCAAGAUAUACAAUAAAACAUAGCAGAUUAAAAGAAAAAAUUAAAUAAGGAUGAUAUAAACAACGAUGACACCGUCACAAAAGACUAUGCAAAAGAAAUAAUUAUGGAAAAUCCAUUCUUUGAUUUUUCUAAAUCUAUUAAAUUAUGUGACUUUGUAAUAAAAAAAAAUUUAGUUGGAGAAAAUCAAGUCCUUUACAAUCAGCUGCUUAGAAACUUUGUCGCGAAUAUUGAAGACUAUGAAGACAAUGAAGACGAUGAAUACAUUGAAUACAUUGAUAUUAUGAAGACGAUGAAUACAUUGAAUACAUUGAAUAUUAUGAAGACGAUAAAGAUGAUUAGAAUGAUAC
This is a long non-coding RNA of Daktulosphaira vitifoliae (grape phylloxera), 750 nucleotides long. RefSeq lists it as uncharacterized. NCBI's taxonomy places the organism in Eukaryota, Metazoa, Arthropoda, Insecta, Hemiptera, Phylloxeridae. The record is from RefSeq and is a predicted model, not a curated record. The transcript has 5 exons.